GACGAACGCUGGCGGCGUGCUUAACACAUGCAAGUCGAACGGAAAGGCCCUGCUUUUGUGGGGUGCUCGAGUGGCGAACGGGUGAGUAACACGUGAGUAACCUGCCCUUGACUUUGGGAUAACUUCAGGAAACUGGGGCUAAUACCGGAUAGGAGCUCCUGCUGCAUGGUGGGGGUUGGAAAGUUUCGGCGGUUGGGGAUGGACUCGCGGCUUAUCAGCUUGUUGGUGGGGUAGUGGCUUACCAAGGCUUUGACGGGUAGCCGGCCUGAGGGGGUGACCGGCCACAUGGGGAGUGAGAUACGGCCCAGACUCCUACGGGAGGCAGGAGUGGGAAAUAUUGCACAAUGGGCGGAAGCCUGAUGCAGCAACGCCGCGUGGGGGAUGAGGGCCUUCGGGUUGUAACCCGCUUUCGCCUGUGACGAAGCGUGAGUGACGGUAAUGGGUAAAGAAGCACCGGCUAACUACG
RNAcentral lists this ribosomal RNA (466 nucleotides) under uncultured bacterium. Its description in RNAcentral is "partial 16S ribosomal RNA". It matches the Rfam family "Bacterial small subunit ribosomal RNA", at positions 28 to 505 of the family's 1533-position model. The record is from RNAcentral.